Molecule: ribosomal RNA, 342 nt
Filed under: uncultured bacterium
Lineage: Bacteria
Description: bacterial SSU rRNA
Rfam family: Bacterial small subunit ribosomal RNA
Source: RNAcentral
GAUGAACGCUAGCGACAGGCUUAACACAUGCAAGUCGAGGGGCAGCGGGGGUAGCAAUACCCGCCGGCGACCGGCGCACGGGUGAGUAACACGUGUGCAACCAACCCCGUACCGGGAGAUAACCCGCGGAAACGUGGACUAACAUCCCAUAACACUGGAGGAUCGCAUGAUCUUUCAUUUAAAAUUCCGGUGGUACGGGACGGGCACGCGCGACAUUAGGUAGUUGGCGGGGUAACGGCCCACCAAGCCGACGAUGUCUAGGGGGUUCUGAGAGGAAGGUCCCCCCACACUGGAACUGAGACACGGUCCAGACUCCUACGGGAGGCAGCAGUGAGGAAUAUU